GACGAACGCUGGCGGCGUGCUUAACACAUGCAAGUCGAACGAAGAGCGAUGGAAGCUUGCUUCUAUCAAUCUUAGUGGCGAACGGGUGAGUAACGCGUAAUCAACCUGCCCUUCAGAGGGGGACAACAGUUGGAAACGACUGCUAAUACCGCAUACGAUCUAAUCUCGGCAUCGAGGAUAGAUGAAAGGUGGCCUCUACAUGUAAGCUAUCACUGAAGGAGGGGAUUGCGUCUGAUUAGCUAGUUGGAGGGGUAACGGCCCACCGAGGCGAUGAUCAGUAGCCGGUCUGAGAGGAUGAACGGCCACAUUGGGACUGAGACACGGCCCAGACUCCUACGGGAGGCAGCAGUGGGGAAUCUUCCGCAAUGGACGAAAGUCUGACGGAGCAACGCCGCGUGAGUGAUGACGGCCUUCGGGUUGUAAAGCUCUGUUAAUCGGGACGAAAGGCCUUCUUGCGAAUAGUGAGAAGGAUUGACGGUACCGGAAUAGAAAGCCACGGCUAACUACGUG
This 510-nucleotide ribosomal RNA is filed under the name uncultured bacterium. Its description in RNAcentral is "partial 16S ribosomal RNA". It matches the Rfam family "Bacterial small subunit ribosomal RNA", at positions 28 to 507 of the family's 1533-position model. The record is from RNAcentral.